GACGAACGCUGGCGGCGUGCCUAAUACAUGCCAGUCGAACGCACAGUUUAUACCGUAGCUUGCUACACCAUAGACUGUGAGUUGCGAACGGGUGAGUAACGCGUAGGUAACCUGCCUGGCAGCGGGGGAUAACUAUUGGAAACGAUAGCUAAUACCGCAUAAUAUUAAUUAUUGCAUGAUAAUUAAUUGAAAGGUGCAAUUGCACCACUACCAGAUGGACCUGCGUUGUAUUAGCUAGUAGGUGAGGUAACGGCUCACCUAGGCGACGAUACAUAGCCGACCUGAGAGGGUGAGCGGCCACACUGGGACUGAGACACGGCCCAGACUCCUACGGGAGGCAGCAGUAGGGAAUCUUCGGCAAUGGACGAAAGUCUGACCGAGCAACGCCGCGUGAGUGAAGAAGGUUUUCGGAUCGUAAAGCUCUGUUGUAAGAGAAGAACGGGGGUGAGAGUGGAAAGUUCACACUGUGACGGUAUCUUACCAGAAAGGGACGGCUAACUACGUG
Molecule: ribosomal RNA, 505 nt
Filed under: uncultured bacterium
Lineage: Bacteria
Description: partial 16S ribosomal RNA
Rfam family: Bacterial small subunit ribosomal RNA
Source: RNAcentral